Molecule: long non-coding RNA, 1112 nt
Filed under: Heterocephalus glaber (naked mole-rat)
Lineage: Eukaryota; Metazoa; Chordata; Mammalia; Rodentia; Bathyergidae
Description: lncRNA (ENSHGLG00100050638.1)
Source: RNAcentral
CUCCAGGUUGCUUAGGGAAGCCUCAGAGCUCAGGUGGCUGAGAAUGACAGUACACAUCAGGCGAUGGAGAUGUUUCUCUUUCUUCUGAUAAGCACUUAAAUGCUUACCAGGUUCCACUACCUGGGCAACAAAUGUCAUCCUUGCCUUUGGCUGUGGAUUGGUGCAUUUGAUCCUAUCAAUCCCUUGUUUUCAGCCUAAUCCAACUUCCCCAAAACAUGGGGAAAAGAAGAGGAGAAUAUCAGAAAGCUUUCAAAUUUGCAACUGCAAGACUGAUACACAUUUUGCAAGGAUCUGUCUGAUGUGUACAACAAACAUUGGAAUUAAGGCUUCUACAAUACUGGUAUGUGGUCAAGUCUAUGGCUGUGCAAUGCUGGACUUCCGCAAAGCAUCUCCAGCUUCCACUGUUACCCAACUUGUAAACCAGAAGAUGUGCUGAUGUAGGUGGAUAGCAGCUCCAAGACAAGUCUGAGAGCACUGAACACAUUAAGAAGUGAUUGCUGAGCCCGUUAGGGACAGGCACGUCUGCGGACACUGUAGCAGGGUCCCCGGCCGCGGAGAACACGCCGAUCCAGCCCGUUUUGGACAGUUGUGUGUAUCCAUGCAUUUGUGAUUGUAUAGUAAAAGGAUUCCUGGAGGAUUUCUGAAAAUUGGUAGCAAUGUCUCAGGGAAACUGAUAAACUGGGCAACAGGAAAAAAAAGAGAAAUUACUUGAAACAGAGAGACCAAGAGAAAGCAGCAGCUUCAGCAGCAGCCCUAAAAGAAAUAGACUGUAAUUCUGAUCCUCAAGACUGCAGGAAGAGCUCGACGACUAAACCCACCUGCCACCACUGCAAAAAGCCAGGCCAGCUUAAGAAGGUCUGUGACAAGAGGCCUCCUGGUCCAUGCCCCGAUUGCAAAGGUGACCACUGGAAGUUGAACUGCCCUCUGAGGCCCCAGAGCUCAGACCCAUCUUGCCAGGUGGUCCAGCAAGACUGAAGGGUCCCAGGGACUCUGCCUUCUCCCUCUGGCUAGACUGUCAUUUCCACAGAGGAGCCCUGGGUAAUCAUGACUAUAGAGAGAAAAUAAACCAGCCUAUUUCUGGACACUGGCAUGUGUCUCUCAGUCCUUCAACC